This 80-nucleotide ribosomal RNA is filed under the name Chelonoidis abingdonii (Abingdon island giant tortoise). Lineage: Eukaryota; Metazoa; Chordata; Testudines; Testudinidae. The record is from RNAcentral.
UUCAGCAGCUAAGCAGGGUCAGGCCCAGGCAGUACGUGGAUGGGAGACCUCCAGCAAAGGCCUGUGUUCUGCUGCUGGCU